CCUACGGGAGGCAGCAGUAGGGAAUUUUCGGCAAUGGGGGGAACCCUGACCGAGCAACGCCGCGUGAACGAAGAAGUUAUUCGUAAUGUAAGGUUCUUUUAACAGGGAAGAAAGAGAAAUUUGACGGUACCUGAAGAAUAAGCUCCGGUUAACUACGUGCCAGCAGCCGUGGUAAAACGUAGGAAGCGGGCGUUAUCCGGAAUUUUUGGGCGUAAAGGGUGGGUAGAUGGCAUAGUAAGCCUUUUGUAAAAAGGCUGGGCUCAACCCAGUAGGGCAAAAGAUACUGCAAAGCUAGAGUAUGACAGAGGCAAGUGGAACUACAUGUGUAGCGGUAAAAUGCGUAAAUAUAUGUAAGAACACCAGUGGCGAAGGCGGCUUGCUGGGUCGAUACUGACAUUGAGGCACGAAAGCGUGGGGAGCAAACAGGAUUAGAUACCCUAGUAGUC
This 446-nucleotide ribosomal RNA is filed under the name uncultured bacterium. RNAcentral describes it as "partial 16S ribosomal RNA". It matches the Rfam family "Bacterial small subunit ribosomal RNA", at positions 338 to 795 of the family's 1533-position model. The record is from RNAcentral.